Molecule: ribosomal RNA, 372 nt
Filed under: uncultured bacterium
Lineage: Bacteria
Description: bacterial SSU rRNA
Rfam family: Bacterial small subunit ribosomal RNA
Source: RNAcentral
UACGAAGGAUCCAAGCGUUGUCCGGAUUUACUGGGUUUAAAGGGUGCGUAGGUGGAUAAUUAAGUCAGUGGUGAAAGCCUGCAGCUUAACUGUAGAAUUGCCAUUGAAACUGAUUGUCUUGAAUAUGGUUGAGGUAACUGGAAUGUUGCAUGUAGCGGUGAAAUGCUUAGAUAUGCAACAGAACACCGAUUGCGAAGGCAGGUUACUAAGCCAUUAUUGACACUGAGGCACGAAAGCGUGGGGAUCAAACAGGAUUAGAUACCCUGGUAGUCCACGCUGUAAACGUUGCAUACUCGGUCUUAGCGAUAAACAGUUAGGACCCAAGCGAAAGCGUUAAGUAUGCCACCUGGGAAGUACGAUCGCAAGAUUGAA